RNAcentral lists this transfer RNA (76 nucleotides) under Holophaga sp. RNAcentral describes it as "tRNA-Thr". It matches the Rfam family "tRNA". From Rfam's summary of the family: Transfer RNA (tRNA) molecules are approximately 80 nucleotides in length. Their secondary structure includes four short double-helical elements and three loops (D, anti-codon, and T loops). Lineage: Bacteria; Pseudomonadati; Acidobacteriota; Holophagae; Holophagales; Holophagaceae. The record is from RNAcentral.
GCCGCAAUAGCUCAGCUGAUAGAGCAUCUCAUUCGUAAUGAGAGGGUCGGGGGUUUGAAUCCCUCUUGCGGCUCCA